Molecule: long non-coding RNA, 316 nt
Organism: Hermetia illucens (black soldier fly)
Lineage: Eukaryota; Metazoa; Arthropoda; Insecta; Diptera; Stratiomyidae
Exons: 2
Source: RefSeq, a predicted model, not a curated record
CAGGUGAGUUCAGCUGAAAUUAAAUGCUUUUGAUUUAAAUGCAUUACAACGUGAAGUAAGUGCAGAGCUAGUAACACACAACAAAAUAAUUGGACUCUCUGUAAGUAACAACUUUCAAGAAGCAUGAUCGCCCCUCACCUUAUGACAACACGGAUAUCUAACGUUUGGGACUCCUGAGUUAACAAUGAAAGUCGUAUCUAAGUUAACAUUCUUGAAAGGAGCGAGAGGGACAGCCAAAUAAAUCCAGUGAACGAGUGGACUCGAAACUACUUAUGCGUUCGAUAAAAAAAUAAAUAAACUGUUUUUGUUUAUUGAA